RNAcentral lists this ribosomal RNA (253 nucleotides) under uncultured bacterium. RNAcentral's name for it is "partial 16S ribosomal RNA". It matches the Rfam family "Bacterial small subunit ribosomal RNA", at positions 524 to 776 of the family's 1533-position model. The record is from RNAcentral.
UACGGGGGGGGUAAGCGUUGUUCGGAAUUACUGGGCGUAAAGGGCUUGUAGGCGGCCAACUAAGUCAGACGUGAAAUCCCUCAGCUUAACUGGGGAACUGCGUCUGAUACUGGAUGGCUUGAGUUUGGGAGAGGGAUGCGGAAUUCCAGGUGUAGCGGUGAAAUGCGUAGAUAUCUGGAGGAACACCGGUGGCGAAGGCGGCAUCCUGGACCAACACUGACACUGAUGAGCGAAAGCCAGGGGAGCAAACAGG